This 499-nucleotide ribosomal RNA is filed under the name uncultured bacterium. RNAcentral describes it as "partial 16S ribosomal RNA". It matches the Rfam family "Bacterial small subunit ribosomal RNA", at positions 28 to 507 of the family's 1533-position model. The record is from RNAcentral.
GAUGAACGCUGGCGGCGUGCCUAAUACAUGCAAGUCGAGCGAACAGACGAGAGUGCUUGCACUCUCUGACGUUAGCGGCGGACGGGUGAGUAACACGUGGGUAACCUACCUAUAAGACUGGGAUAACUUCGGGAAACCGGAGCUAAUACCGGAUAAUAUUUAGCUUCGCAUGAAGCAAUAGUGAAAGACGGUUCUGCUGUCACUUAUAGAUGGACCCGCGGUGUAUUAGCUAGUUGGUGAGGUAACGGCUCACCAAGGCAACGAUACAUAGCCGACCUGAGAGGGUGAUCGGCCACACUGGGACUGAGACCCGGCCCAGACUCCUACGGGAGGCAGCAGUAGGGAAUCUUCCGCAAAGGACGAAAGUCUGACGGAGCAAUGCCGCGUGAGUGAAGAAGGUUUUCGGAUCGUAAAACUCUGUUGUAAGGGAAGAACAAGUACGUUAGUAACUGAACGUACCUUGACGGUACCUUACCAGAAAGCCACGGCUAACUACGUG